AUGAACGCUGGCGGCGUGCCUAAUACAUGCAAGUCGAGCGAACGGACGAGAAGCUUGCUUCUCUGAUGUUAGCGGCGGACGGGUGAGUAACACGUGGAUAACCUACCUAUAAGACUGGGAUAACUUCGGGAAACCGUAGCUAAUACCGGAUAAUAUUUUGAACCGCAUGGUUCAAAAGUGAAAGACGGUCUUGCUGUCACUUAUAGAUGGAUCCGCGCUGCAUUAGCUAGUUGGUAAGGUAACGGCUUACCAAGGCAACGAUGCAUAGCCGACCUGAGAGGGUGAUCGGCCACACUGGAACUGAGACACGGUCCAGACUCCUACGGGAGGCAGCAGUAGGGAAUCUUCCGCAAUGGGCGAAAGCCUGACGGAGCAACGCCGCGUGAGUGAUGAAGGUCUUCGGAUCGUAAAACUCUGUUAUUAGGGAAGAACGUAUGUGUAAGUAACUGUGCACAUCUUGACGGUACCUAAUCAGAAAGCCACGGCUAACUACGUG
Molecule: ribosomal RNA, 496 nt
Filed under: uncultured bacterium
Lineage: Bacteria
Description: partial 16S ribosomal RNA
Rfam family: Bacterial small subunit ribosomal RNA
Source: RNAcentral